GACGAACCGUGCGAACGUUGUUCGGAAUCACUGGGCUUAAAGGGCGCGUAGGCGGCUCGUCAAGUCUGGGGUGAAAUCCUGCAGCUUAACUGUAGAAGAGCCUUAGAUACUGGCGAGCUCGAGGGAGGUAGGGGUGCGUGGAACUUCUGGUGGAGCGGUGAAAUGCGUUGAUAUCAGAAGGAACGCCGGUGGCGAAAGCGACGCACUGGAUCUCUACUGACGCUGAGGCGCGAAAGCUAGGGGAGCAAACGGG
This 253-nucleotide ribosomal RNA is filed under the name uncultured bacterium. RNAcentral describes it as "partial 16S ribosomal RNA". It matches the Rfam family "Bacterial small subunit ribosomal RNA", at positions 524 to 776 of the family's 1533-position model. The record is from RNAcentral.